AUUGAACGCUGGCGGCAGGCCUAACACAUGCAAGUCGAACGGUAACAGGAAGCAGCUUGCUGCUUCGCUGACGAGUGGCGGACGGGUGAGUAAUGUUUGGGAAACUGCCUGAUGGAGGGGGAUAACUACUGGAAACGGUAGCUAAUACCGCAUAACGUCGCAAGACCAAAGAGGGGGACCUUAGGGCCUCUUGCCAUCGGAUGUGCCCAGAUGGGAUUAGCUAGUAGGUGGGGUAACGGCUCACCUAGGCGACGAUCCCUAGCUGGUCUGAGAGGAUGACCAGCCACACUGGAACUGAGACACGGUCCAGACUCCUACGGGAGGCAGCAGUGGGGAAUAUUGCACAAUGGGCGCAAGCCUGAUGCAGCCAUGCCGCGUGUAUGAAGAAGGCCUUCGGGUUGUAAAGUACUUUCAGCGGGGAGGAAGGGAGUAAAGUUAAUACCUUUGCUCAUUGACGUUACCCGCAGAAGAAGCACCGGCUAACUCCGUG
RNAcentral lists this ribosomal RNA (490 nucleotides) under uncultured bacterium. RNAcentral describes it as "partial 16S ribosomal RNA". It matches the Rfam family "Bacterial small subunit ribosomal RNA", at positions 30 to 507 of the family's 1533-position model. The record is from RNAcentral.